AUUGAACGCUGGCGGCAGGCUUAACACAUGCAAGUUGAGCGGAGCGAGGGUGCUUGCACCUUAGCUUAGCGGCGGACGGGUGAGUAAUGCUUAGGAAUCUGCCUAUUAGUGGGGGACAACAUUCCGAAAGGAAUGCUAAUACCGCAUACGCCCUACGGGGGAAAGCAGGGGAUCUUCGGACCUUGCGCUAAUAGAUGAGCCUAAGUCGGAUUAGCUAGUUGGUGGGGUAAAGGCCUACCAAGGCGACGAUCUGUAGCGGGUCUGAGAGGAUGAUCCGCCACACUGGGACUGAGACACGGCCCAGACUCCUACGGGGGGCAGCAGUGGGGAAUAUUGGACAAUGGGCGGAAGCCUGAUCCAGCCAUGCCGCGUGUGUGAAGAAGGCCUUUUGGUUGUAAAGCACUUUAAGCGAGGAGGAGGCUCUUAAGGUUAAUACCCUUGAUGAGUGGACGUUACUCGCAGAAUAAGCACCGGCUAACUCUGUGCCAGCCGCCGCGGUAA
This 501-nucleotide ribosomal RNA is filed under the name uncultured bacterium. RNAcentral's name for it is "partial 16S ribosomal RNA". It matches the Rfam family "Bacterial small subunit ribosomal RNA", at positions 30 to 523 of the family's 1533-position model. The record is from RNAcentral.